RNAcentral lists this transfer RNA (70 nucleotides) under Aeschrocoris tuberculatus. Its description in RNAcentral is "tRNA-Ser". Lineage: Eukaryota; Metazoa; Arthropoda; Insecta; Hemiptera; Pentatomidae. RNAcentral also lists the same sequence under 1 other name. The record is from RNAcentral.
AAGGAGUAGAAGAAUUCUAAAAGAAGCUGCUAACUAUCUUUUAAGGCGGUUAAACUCCGUUUACUCCUUU